Molecule: ribosomal RNA, 426 nt
Filed under: uncultured bacterium
Lineage: Bacteria
Description: bacterial SSU rRNA
Rfam family: Bacterial small subunit ribosomal RNA
Source: RNAcentral
UGGGGAAUAUUGGACAAUGGGCCACAAGCCUGAUCCAGCAAUUCUGUGUGCACGAUGAAGGUCUUCGGAUUGUAAAGUGCUUUCAGUUGGGAAGAAGAAAGUGACGGUACCAACAGAAGAAGCGACGGCUAAAUACGUGCCAGCAGCCGCGGUAAUACGUAUGUCGCAAGCGUUAUCCGGAUUUAUUGGGCGUAAAGCGCGUCUAGGCGGAAAAAUAAGUCUGAUGUUAAAAUGCGGGGCUCAACUCCGUAUUGCGUUGGAAACUGUUUUUCUAGAGUACUGGAGAGGUGGGCGGAACUACAAGUGUAGAGGUGAAAUUCGUAGAUAUUUGUAGGAAUGCCGAUGNAGAAGUCAGCUCACUGGACAGAUACUGACGCUAAAGCGNGAAAGCGUGGGGAGCAAACANNNUUAGAUACCCGAGUAGUC